AACGUAGGACGCAAACGUUAUCCGGAAUUACUGGGCGUAAAGGGCGCGCAGGCGGAUCGGUAAGUGAGGCAUGAAAGCUCCCUGGCUAAACCGGGAGAGGAUGUCUGAGACUGCCAAUCUGGAGUGAGGUAGAGGGGUGUGGAAUUCCGCGUGUAGUGGUGAAAUGCGUAGAGAUGCGGAGGAACACCAGUGGCGAAGGCGGCACCCUGGACCUUAACUGACGCUGAGGCGCGAAAGCAUGGGGAGCGAACGGG
Molecule: ribosomal RNA, 254 nt
Filed under: uncultured bacterium
Lineage: Bacteria
Description: partial 16S ribosomal RNA
Rfam family: Bacterial small subunit ribosomal RNA
Source: RNAcentral